Molecule: transfer RNA, 76 nt
Filed under: Bacteroidales bacterium
Lineage: Bacteria; Pseudomonadati; Bacteroidota; Bacteroidia; Bacteroidales
Also listed under: 1 other name
Description: tRNA-Pro
Rfam family: tRNA
About the family: Transfer RNA (tRNA) molecules are approximately 80 nucleotides in length.
Source: RNAcentral
CUGGAUGUGGCGCAGUUGGUAGCGCACCUGGUUAGGGACCAGGAGGUCGAAGGUUCAAGUCCUUUCAUCCAGACCA